This 308-nucleotide ribosomal RNA is filed under the name uncultured bacterium. RNAcentral describes it as "partial 16S ribosomal RNA". It matches the Rfam family "Bacterial small subunit ribosomal RNA", at positions 1 to 334 of the family's 1533-position model. The record is from RNAcentral.
CUGUACAGUUCAAGUUUGAUCCUGGCUCAGAACGAACGCUGGCGGAAUGCCUAACACAUGCAAGUCGAACGAGACCUUCGGGUCUAGUGGCGCACGGGUGAGUAACGCGUGGGAAUCUGCCUUGGGGUACGGAAUAACUCAGGGAAACUUGAGCUAAUACCGUAUGAUGUCGUGAGACCAAAGAUUUAUCGCCCUGAGAGGAGCCCGCGUCAGAUUAGCUUGUUGGUGGGGUAACGGCCCACCAAGGCGACGAUCUGUAGCUGGUCUGAGAGGAUGAUCAGCCACACUGGGACUGAGACACGGCCCAG